RNAcentral lists this ribosomal RNA (396 nucleotides) under uncultured bacterium. RNAcentral's name for it is "partial 16S ribosomal RNA". It matches the Rfam family "Bacterial small subunit ribosomal RNA", at positions 523 to 918 of the family's 1533-position model. The record is from RNAcentral.
AUACGUAGGUGACAAGCGUUAUCCGGAUUUACUGGGCGUAAAGGGCAUGUAGGCGGUCUUGCAAGUCAGAAGUGAAAUUCCUGAGCUCAACUCGGGCGCUGCUUCUGAAACUGCAGGACUUGAGUGCUGGAGGGGAUAGCGGAAUUUCUCGUGGCGUGGUAAAAUGCGCAGAUAUUAGGAAGAACACCGGUGGAGAAGGCGGAUAUAUUGACAGUAACUGACGCUGAGUCACGAAAGCGUGGUGAGCAAACAGGAUUAGAUACCCUGAUAGUCCACGCUGGAAACUAUAAAUACUAGGUGUAGGGGUAUCAACUCCCUCUGUGCCGCAGUUAACACAAUAAGUAUUCCGCCUGGGGAGUACGGCCGCAAGGUUGAAACUUAAAGGAAUUGACGGGG